GGAGACGAUGCUGACAGAGAUCAGUCCUGCUUUACCUGACUCUGACUGCAAGCAGAAGAUACUGCUCUUGUUAAAGUGAUAGGUCUUCCAUAGGUGCAGUUAGCACUUUCAGGAUGUUCUUCUGGGCACCAAGACAAAGCUGAGCAAAUGAGAUGAUUUCUGCAGCCUUCUGCAGCACAGAGAGUUGGGGACAGUGAGCGGCCCACGCACAGAAAUGCAGAGGCUCAUGCUGGCUGUCAGCUUGUGACCCAGGGCCAGAAGUGGUGGGAACAGAGGCACAGUCCUGCUGGGCAAAGAUUUGAAGAACCUAACCACUGGCUGUGCCCUGUUCCUCUGACUUACCCCAUCAGUACAGAUGGUGAGGCUGCUCAGCUUUUCAGCCUGGCACCCUCUCUACUCAGGAAUGUUCUGCUCCCAUCCAGAAAUGCAAAAAUGCAUUAUGCGUGUCAGCAGCUUAACCAAAGCCAAGGAAAUAUUUGAAGAUAUCUGAAAUAUGAAUUAUGUAAAAUAAACCUGGCACGCUAGGCA
RNAcentral lists this long non-coding RNA (528 nucleotides) under Numida meleagris (helmeted guineafowl). RNAcentral's name for it is "lncRNA (ENSNMEG00000021565.1)". Lineage: Eukaryota; Metazoa; Chordata; Aves; Galliformes; Numididae. The record is from RNAcentral.